GUAGGUGGCAAGCGUUGUCCGGAAUUAUUGGGCGUAAAGCGCGCGCAGGUGGGUUCUUUAAGUCUGAUGUGAAAGCCCCCGGGCUCAACCGGGGAGGGUCAUUGGAAACUGGGGAACUUGAGUGCAGGAGAGGAAAGUGGAAUUCCACGUGUAGCGGUGAAAUGCGUAGAUAUGUGGAGGAACACCAGUGCGAAGGCGACUUUCUGGCCUGUAACUGACACUGAGGCGCGAAAGCGUGGGGAGCAAACAGGAUUAGAUACCCUGGUAGUCCACGCCGUAAACGAUGAGUGCUAAGUGUUGGGGGGUUUCCGCCCCUCAGUGCUGCAGCUAACGCAUUAAGCACUCCGCCUGGGGAGUACGGUCGCAAGACUG
RNAcentral lists this ribosomal RNA (372 nucleotides) under uncultured organism. RNAcentral describes it as "partial 16S ribosomal RNA". It matches the Rfam family "Bacterial small subunit ribosomal RNA", at positions 527 to 896 of the family's 1533-position model. The record is from RNAcentral.